RNAcentral lists this unclassified non-coding RNA (512 nucleotides) under Hevea brasiliensis (rubber tree). Lineage: Eukaryota; Viridiplantae; Streptophyta; Magnoliopsida; Malpighiales; Euphorbiaceae. The record is from RNAcentral.
UGAGGAGGUAAAACCAUGUACAAAUUCUUGACUUUCACAUUCUGAUGAAGUUUGUGGCACCGAAUAAACUGACCCGUGGUUGCUUCUCUCUUCAUACAAAGACAAGUUUGUUCUCUCAAUUUUUUUUGCACCUUUCUCAGCUAAAGGGAGCAUUGAAACAUCUGAAACACUUUCAGAACCUGUAUGACUAGUACUUAAAAUACCUUUUAGUUCCAUAUAACUCGGGGCAUGAUUAGGAUCACUAAGCAUACUUGGGAUGAGAGGCUUCUUAUGAUUAACUCGAUCACGCAUAAAUUCAAGAGCAAACUCCUCACCUGUCUGUAUGGAGUAAUUAAGUACAGGUUUAACUUCUGAUACAUUUAGGUCAGGAAGUCUCACAUUAGUACUUCUGCCGCUUGUAGGAUCUAGCAAGAAUGCUUGAGAUGCAGGAUGGAAUCCUUCACGUCCAGGUUCCCUGGAAUUGUAUUGAAAUUGUUUAUCUGAUUGUUCCAUUCCAAUAUUGUUUGGAUUCC